GGAAGGCUUGACACCAUUGCACGUAUUUAAGAUGGCAGAAGGAGGGUUUUCGAUUCUCAACCUACCAAUUGACCAAUUCAUACAAUGCAUCCACUGUUAUAUGCUUUUCGAAAAAGAUAAUGUUUAUUAUUGGCCAUUAUUAUCUAUAGAAGAUUAUCUUAAUGGGAUAAGCUAUACAGCAGCAGGAUGUGAAUAUCUUGAUGAAUACUACUUUGACACGGCCAAUGUUCCAUGUGGCAUAAGUUGUCCACAUUGCGGUAAAGAUUUUGAAACCGUUGCACAGGUUACUGCACGUCCAGUAUGGAAUGAUGAUGAAAUGUUGGAAGGAAGAGUGCCUGAUAUCUGUGGUUUUGAUAAUGUAAUAAUAUUAAAAGUCUCUAUGUCGUUAGAGAAAACAACGACAAUUUCAAGAGUGCUUCAAAUGUGAUAAGAACUUUGAAAUCCCUGAAGAUGUUGAAUUGAACAUUCAACAUGACCUUGAUAGUGUCGUAGUGCCUGGUUCAAUUACAUUGAAAAUUAUCGCAAAGACAAAAAUGAAUAAAGGAUUUUGCUACCUUGGAUUAGACGAAAGAACUGGUCGUAUCUUUAGGCCUAUCUUUAACACCGGCAACCAGAAAUGUAACUGGCCUACGAAUGAACAAUUAGAGUUUGGUAUGUUGUAUAUAUUUAGCGUAAUAGCUCAUCCGGACCAAAAGAAGAACUUAACGCCAUUUCCGCACCGUAAUGAAGACAUGAUUGUAGAUGGAUUCUCUAUUUUGGAAACACCAGUCACCUGUGUAUAUUCUGUAUACCCAUCCUUUUUAGAAAUGGCCAAGUCUGAUGUAAACGAAGUGUUUAAUGAUAUACGAGACAGACGCUUCGUCGACGAACAAACAGAAUGCAGUUCAGCGGGUAUAAUAAGGUCCGAAGCAUUGAUUAGAUUCAAUGAAAAAAAGGCGAAAAACUAUUGUCAUAUCAGAUGUCCAUCUGGUGAGUACGCCUUUCCCAUCACUACAUUACAGUUUGAUCAUAUCGGUAAAGAAUACACGGAUGCAGUAAUAAUUCUUGGAUUAGGUCGUCCUUAUAAAGGCACGGGAAAACCAUUUAUACCAGCAAGGUGUUAUAUACUUGCUGUUGGGAUAUAUUUACCAAAUGUACAAAUGGCUCUUCCUCCAAAUCAUUGAAUAGUACUUUAUGGCUUUUAUUAAAAAAUAUAAACUUCCUAUUGUAAUAUAUAUAUAUAUAUACUAUACAUACCAGAUCGCUAUGACUGAAGAGACCAAAAAACUUUGAUUUAUUGUCAUAA
Mytilus californianus (California mussel) is the source of this 1285-nucleotide long non-coding RNA. RefSeq lists it as uncharacterized. The transcript is spliced from 2 exons. The record is from RefSeq and is a predicted model, not a curated record. Lineage: Eukaryota; Metazoa; Mollusca; Bivalvia; Mytilida; Mytilidae.